This 310-nucleotide unclassified non-coding RNA is filed under the name plant metagenome. Its description in RNAcentral is "partial contains 5.8S ribosomal RNA, internal transcribed spacer 2, and large subunit ribosomal RNA". The stretch from base 1 to 105 matches the Rfam family "5.8S ribosomal RNA", at positions 50 to 154 of the family's 154-position model. The record is from RNAcentral.
GAAAUGCGAUAAGUAGUGUGAAUUGCAGAAUUCAGUGAAUCAUCGAAUCUUUGAACGCACAUUGCGCCCCUUGGUAUGCCAUGGGGCAUGCCUGUUCGAGCGUCAUUUGUACCCUCAAGCUCUGCUUGGUGUUGGGUGUUUGUCCCCGUCUCCGCGCGUGGACUCGCCCCAAAGUGAUUGGCAGCCGGCGUACUGGUCCCGGAGCGCAGCACAUGUCGCGCAAACGAGUGCCUUGGUACGGCGGCGUCCAUAAGCCCCUCUCUCACGCUCUUGACCUCGGAUCAGGUAGGGAUACCCGCUGAACUUAAGC